Molecule: long non-coding RNA, 610 nt
Filed under: Homo sapiens (human)
Lineage: Eukaryota; Metazoa; Chordata; Mammalia; Primates; Hominidae
Description: long intergenic non-protein coding RNA 2810
Source: RNAcentral
CACUAAAGACCACACGCUCCAUUGAACAUUUAUGGCUGCAAAUGGCUCCUCCGUGCAGGUGAGGACAUGGAAGCACAGGGAGGUUAUGCCACUCGCCCAAAGACAACUAAUCAGUGACAGCUGAGACUUGGACUGCAGAACCUACACUUUAUAACUAUUUUACAGUUCUGGGCGUCACGGAAUCUUGCAUGAAGAGCCCCUAACCUGGCCCGGGUGGAGGCUCUGCUUCCUCAGUGUCAGCAUCAUUCACAGCAGGCAUGUCCCUCCUGCCUCCAAGAGAGUCACCAGCAGCUUCCUCCUCCACAUCUGUUCUCUCUCUCUCUCUGGCCAUUCACUGUGGGGGAAGUCAGUUCCAUGCCCUGAGUCCAUUCAGGCAGCUUGUGAAGAGGCCCACAUGGCCAAUAGCCAGUGAGGAACUGAGGCCUGCAGUGACCACUUGGAUGAGCUUGGAAGCACGUCCUCCAGCCCCAGUCAAGUCUUGAGGUGAGACCACAGUCCUGGCCAACAGGUGACUACAACAUCACGGGAAACCCAAAGCCAUUCAGCUAAGCCACUCUCAGAUUGCUGAUCCCCAGAAGCUGCAUGAGAUAAUAAAUGUUUGUUGUUUUAA